Molecule: ribosomal RNA, 484 nt
Filed under: uncultured bacterium
Lineage: Bacteria
Description: partial 16S ribosomal RNA
Rfam family: Bacterial small subunit ribosomal RNA
Source: RNAcentral
AUUGAACGCUGGCGGCAGGCCUAACACAUGCAAGUCGAGCGGAUGAAGGGAGCUUGCUCCUGGAUUCAGCGGCGGACGGGUGAGUAAUGCCUAGGAAUCUGCCUGGUAGUGGGGGAUAACGUCCGGAAACGGGCGCUAAUACCGCAUACGUCCUGAGUGAGAAAGUGGGGGAGCUUCGGACCUCACGCUAUCAGAUGAUCCUAGGUCGGAUUAGCUAGUUGGUGGGGUAAAGGCCUACCAAGGCGACGAUCCGUAACUGGUCUGAGAGGAUGAUCAGUCACACUGGAACUGAGACACGGUCCAGACUCCUACGGGAGGCAGCAGUGGGGAAUAUUGGACAAUGGGCGAAAGCCUGAUCCAGCCAUGCCGCGUGUGUGAAGAAGGUCUUCGGAUUGUAAAGCACUUUAAGUUGGGAGGAAGGGCAGUAAGUUAAUACCUUGCUGUUUUGACGGUACCAACAGAAUAAGCACCGGCUAACUUCGUG